Small nuclear RNA from Choloepus hoffmanni (Hoffmann's two-fingered sloth), 112 nucleotides. Lineage: Eukaryota; Metazoa; Chordata; Mammalia; Pilosa; Megalonychidae. The record is from Ensembl.
GUGCUCACUUUGGCAGCACAUAUUCUAAAAUUGGAACCAUACAGCUAAGAUUAGCCUGGCUCCUGCUCUGCUCAAGGUUGACUCUCAAAUUCAUGAAGUGUUCCAUAGUUUU